GAUGAACGCUGGCGGCGUGCCUAAUACAUGCAAGUCGAGCGAACAGACGAGGAUCUUGUUCUUCUGACGUUAGCGGCGGACGGGUGAGUAACAAGUGGCUCACCUAUCUAUAAGACCGGACUAACUUCGAGAAACCGGAGCUAAUACCGGAUAAUAUAUUGAACCGCAUGGUGCAAUAGUGAAAGACGGUCUUGCUGUCACUUAUAGAUGGAUCCGCGCCGCAUUAGCUACUUGUUAAGGUAACGGCUUACCAAGGCAACGAUGCGUAGCCGACCUGGGAGGGUGAUCGGCCACACUGGAACUGAGACGCGGUCCAGACUACUACGGGAGGCAGCAGUAGAGUAGGGUACACUGUGGGCGAAAGCGUGACGGAGCAACGCCGCGUGGGUGAUGAAGGUCUUCGGAUCGUAAAACUCUGUUAUUAGGGAAGAACGAAUGUGUAAGUAACUGUGCGCGUCUGAACGGUACCGAUCAGGAAGCCACGGCUAACUACGUG
Molecule: ribosomal RNA, 496 nt
Filed under: uncultured bacterium
Lineage: Bacteria
Description: partial 16S ribosomal RNA
Rfam family: Bacterial small subunit ribosomal RNA
Source: RNAcentral